UCUCCGUAGGUGAACCUGCGGAGGGAUCAUUAAGAAUUGAACAGCAGUGUCUGGCACUGUUGCCCAUUCUAACCCUUUGUGAACUACAACUCUGUUGCUUCGGGGGCGACCCUGCCGUUCGCGGCGUGGGGCCCCCGGAGCCCAUCAAACCCUGCGUAACUAAGUCGUCGGAGUUUAAACAAAUUAAACAAAACUUUCAACAACGGAUCUCUUGGUUCGGGCAUCGAUGAAGAACGCAGC
Molecule: unclassified non-coding RNA, 240 nt
Filed under: uncultured fungus
Lineage: Eukaryota; Fungi
Description: sequence contains ITS1, 5.8S rRNA gene
Rfam family: 5.8S ribosomal RNA (bases 192-240)
Source: RNAcentral